UACGAAGGGGACUAGCGUUGUUCGGAAUUACUGGGCGUAAAGCGCACGUAGGCGGAUUUGUAAGUCAGGGGUGAAAUCCCGGGGCUCAACCUCGGAACUGCCUUUGAUACUGCAAAUCUCGAGUCCGAUAGAGGUGGGUGGAAUUCCUAGUGUAGAGGUGAAAUUCGUAGAUAUUCGCAAGAACACCAGUGGCGAAGGCGGCUCACUGGCCCGAUACUGACGCUGAGGCACGAAAGCGUGGGGAGCAAACAGG
This 253-nucleotide ribosomal RNA is filed under the name uncultured bacterium. RNAcentral's name for it is "partial 16S ribosomal RNA". It matches the Rfam family "Bacterial small subunit ribosomal RNA", at positions 524 to 776 of the family's 1533-position model. The record is from RNAcentral.